This 337-nucleotide unclassified non-coding RNA is filed under the name soil metagenome. RNAcentral describes it as "partial contains 5.8S ribosomal RNA, internal transcribed spacer 2, and large subunit ribosomal RNA". The stretch from base 1 to 120 matches the Rfam family "5.8S ribosomal RNA", at positions 35 to 154 of the family's 154-position model. The record is from RNAcentral.
GAUGAAGAACGUAGCGAAAUGCGAUAAGUAGUGUGAAUUGCAGAAUUCAGUGUAUCAUCGAAUCUUUGAACGCACAUUGCGCCCUAUAGUAUUCUGUAGGGCAUGCAUGUUCGAGCGUCAUUUGUACCUUCAAGCUUUGCUUGGUGUUGGGUGUUUGUCCUCUCCCUGGUGUUUGGACUCGCCUUAAAACAAUUGGCAGCCAGUGUUUUGGUAUUGAAGCGCAGCACAAUUUGCGAUUCUGGCCUUAAAAUACUAGCGUCCAUAAGUACAUUCUCACUUUUGACCUCGGAUCAUGUAGGGAUACCCGCUGAACUUAAGCAUAUCAAUAAGCGGAGGA